Molecule: ribosomal RNA, 433 nt
Filed under: uncultured bacterium
Lineage: Bacteria
Also listed under: 1 other name
Description: bacterial SSU rRNA
Rfam family: Bacterial small subunit ribosomal RNA
Source: RNAcentral
AACGAACGCUGGCGGCAGGCCUAACACAUGCAAGUCGAGCGAGGUAGCAAUACCUAGCGGCGGACGGGUUAGUAACGCGUGGGAACGUGCCCAAAGGUACGGAAUAGCCUCGGGAAACUGAGAGUAAUACCGUAUGUGCCCUUCGGGGGAAAGAUUUAUCGCCUUUGGAUCGGCCCGCGUUGGAUUAGGUAGUUGGUGGGGUAAUGGCCUACCAAGCCGACGAUCCAUAGCUGGUUUGAGAGGAUGAUCAGCAACACUGGGACUGAGACACGGCCCAGACUCCUACGGGAGGCAGCAGUGGGGAAUCUUAGACAAUGGGGGAAACCCUGAUCUAGCCAUGCCGCGUGAGCGAUGAAGGCCUUAGGGUUGUAAAGCUCUUUCAGCUGGGAAGAUAAUGACGGUACCAGCAGAAGAAGCCCCGGCUAACUCCGUG